AGACCCGAAACCCGGUGAUCUAGCCAUGGGCAGGUUGAAGGUUGGGUAACACUAACUGGAGGACCGAACCGACUAAUGUUGAAAAAUUAGCGGAUGACCUGUGGCUGGGGGUGAAAGGCCAAUCAAACCGGGAGAUAGCUGGUUCUCCCCGAAAGCUAUUUAGGUAGCGCCUCGUGAAUUCAUCUCCGGGGGUAGAGCACUGUUUCGGCUAGGGGGCCAUCCCGGCUUACCAACCCGAUGCAAACUGCGAAUACCGGAGAAUGUUAUCACGGGAGACACACGGCGGGUGCUAACGUCCGUCGUGAAGAGGGAAACAACCCAGACCGCCAGCUAAGGUCCCAAAGUCAUGGUUAAGUGGGAAACGAUGUGGGAAGGCCCAGACAGCCAGGAUGUUGGCUUAGAAGCAGCCAUCAUUUAAAGAAAGCGUAAUAGCUCACUGGUCGAGUCGGCCUGCGCGGAAGAUGUAACGGGGCUAAACCAUGCACCGAAGCUGCGGCAGCGAACGUAUCACCCAAGACAACUUUACGGAGUUGACGAUUGACGGAGCGAAGCGACGUCAAAGCGUUCAUUAAAGUCGAGUUGGCUUAGGGAUACGUUCGUUGGGUAGGGGAGCGUUCUGUAAGCCUGUGAAGGUGUGUCGUGAGGCAUGCUGGAGGUAUCAGAAGUGCGAAUGCUGACAUAAGUAACGAUAAAGCGGGUGAAAAGCCCGCUCGCCGGAAGACCAAGGGUUCCUGUCCAACGUUAAUCGGGGCAGGGUGAGUCGACCCCUAAGGCGAGGCCGAAAGGCGUAGUCGAUGGGAAACGGGUUAAUAUUCCCGUACUUGGUGUUACUGCGAAGGGGGGACGGAGAAGGCUAUGUUGGCCGGGCGACGGUUGUCCCGGUUUAAGCGUGUAGGUGUGUGUUCCAGGUAAAUCCGGUUCACUUUAACACUGAGGCGUGAUGACGAGGCACUACGGUGCUGAAGCAACAAAUGCCCUGCUUCCAGGAAAAGCCUCUAAGCAUCAGGUAACACGAAAUCGUACCCCAAACCGACACAGGUGGUCAGGUAGAGAAUACCAAGGCGCUUGAGAGAACUCGGGUGAAGGAACUAGGCAAAAUGGUGCCGUAACUUCGGGAGAAGGCACGCUGACACGU
Molecule: ribosomal RNA, 1135 nt
Filed under: Salmonella enterica subsp. enterica serovar Typhimurium
Lineage: Bacteria; Pseudomonadati; Pseudomonadota; Gammaproteobacteria; Enterobacterales; Enterobacteriaceae
Description: partial 23S ribosomal RNA
Rfam family: Bacterial large subunit ribosomal RNA
Source: RNAcentral